Molecule: long non-coding RNA, 1635 nt
Organism: Hydractinia symbiolongicarpus
Lineage: Eukaryota; Metazoa; Cnidaria; Hydrozoa; Anthoathecata; Hydractiniidae
Exons: 2
Source: RefSeq, a predicted model, not a curated record
AAAUACGAAACUUGUAUUGUAAACUAAAAAAUAAUGAACUACAUUACACGAUUUUUUGUUUUGUUUUUAUGAGAGGAUUUUACGCAACGUACAUUUUGUUUCGUUUAACAUGAAGAAAAGAGCAUUGUUCGCGUGUUGCAUGCUGGUAUUGCUCCUCAUCAUUGCCGAUGAGGUGUAUUCAUGGAAACGGGUACAGAGAAAAAGAGGUGGAAUACGUUAUAGAAUACGGAUGAUUCGAUCAAAUUAUAAUAAAUGGUGUAAAUACAUGAUGAAAGACGUGUGUCAAAACUUUUGUGGAAUUGUCGGAUGCAACAACUAUUGCUAUCCCGUGAAGAAAAAAGUGUGUUCAGCAUAAAAAAGAUUAUAUAAACGUUCUGUUCUGGUGUCACUUUACGUAAAUUUCAAAAAAAAAAAAAAAAUGGCUGCACUUUGAGUAUUUGUUUUGAUUUUUGUGCUAAAAGCUAUACUCCAGAAAUCUCUAUCUGCACAUAAGAGAUUGGAUACUCUUGUUUAUCGAUGCUAAUACAUUUCUUGCGUGAAGCUUGCGAAUUGGUGGCUAAACACUUCACGUGUGCAAGUGCUUAAAAUUUUGGAUAUUAGCGAUACUCAAGCAUUACAUAUUUUGAUUUUGACAUUAAGGGCAGGGAGAAAAGCUUAAAUCUAAUCGUUAAAUAUGCGUUUGGCGUACGGGUAUCGAUUUGUGUCGUCCCCAUAACCCCCUUCCUUUUUUCCGUACUAUGGCCAUUUGAAUGCAAUAAAUACGUUUUAGGUCCACAGUGAAACAAAUCAAUGUAAAUGGGUUUAAGUAGUUAAACUGUACUCAAAAUCAAGAUUCAUAACAACCUAGAAAUCAUCUUCUAAGUCAUAUAUUUAAGAAAAAAAGAAUGUUUCUAUAUUAUAGCGCUAGCUACUCAGGACACCUGCGAAAUGCAAAGAUUAAAACGCCUCUUUUUUUGAUGCAGAGGUGUUUAAGUUUCAUCUCAGGGAAGUAAUUACUAAAAGUUGUGGGUGAACUAAUACAGUAAACAUGCAUUUCGAGAGGGAAAUUAAGAUCAGCAAAUAGUUUUAUAAUAGCAAACAUUUGUGUUUUAUUCUUCAAAUUAGGCGAAUACUACGUCCGAUCAUUACGCCUCCGAGAGUUUACAAGGGAAAUAAACAAAAAAGGCAAACGCACAUAUCCUGUCUUUUGCGAAGUAAUAAAAUGCACACCACUGCGACCGAUAUUCAAAUGAAUAAAAAAAAAAAAAAACGAAGGUUAAGAAGAUAAAGAAAAGAAAAAGCGAAAAAUGGAACUGCAGAUAGUUUUGUGUUUGAUGUUUUUAUUAGUCACAGUUGAAGCUAUUCCGAUCUCUCGGAGGAGAAUUUCAAUCAAGGUGGUGUCACAUCACGAUAAUCCCCAGCAAUCUCGUGGAAAUUUUGGUAAAAAAUGCUCAUAUAAACAUAUUUGUGUGACAUUUUGUGAUGGAACGAACUGUUUUGACUUAUGUAGAAAAGAACGUAAAAAAUGUUCCCACAAGUAGUUUUUAUGUCUUAUUUUUUAUUUAUUUAUGUAUUUAUUUAUUUAUUAAUUUAUUUGAAGUAGCAUUGUAUUUAGCAUUACCAUAAAUUCCAAUAAGAUUACAUUUUUUUGUCUUA